UUCAAAUAAAAAAGGGCUUUUGACGGAUACCUAGGUAUUUAGAGGCGAUGAAGGACGUAGUUACCGACGAUAUUCUUUGAGGAGCUGGAAACAAGCUAUGAUUCAAAGGUCUCCGAAUAGAGCAAUCUAGAAAACUUCUUUUUGAAAUCAAAUAGAAAAGAAAGAGCAAACCUGGUGAAUUGAAACAUCUUAGUAGCCAGAGGAAAAGAAAGCAACAGCGAUUUCCUUAGUAGCGGCGAGCGAAACGGAACAAGUCUAAACUUUUUCAAAUUAUAGAAAAAGGGUUGUGGGAACUUUAAUUAAAAUUAUAUUUUUUCUGUAAAGCAAAUCAUUUGGAAUAAUGAACGAUACAAGGUGAAAGUCCCGUAGUUUUAGAAAAAAAAAUAUGUCGAAAGAUUUCCCGAGUAGCUUGGGACAUGUGAAAUCCCGAGUGAAUCCGCGAGAACCAUCUCGUAAGACUAAAUACUCCUAAAUAACCGAUAGAGAAUAGUACCGUGAGGGAAAGGUGAAAAGAACCCUGAGUUGGGAGUGAAAUAGACCAUGAAAUCAAAAGCUUACAAGCAGUAGGAGGUAUAUAAAAUACUGACUGCGUGCCUGUUGAAGAAUGUGCCUGCGAAUUAUAAAAGAUGGCUUGGUUAAUACGCUACGCGUUGAAGCCUAAGUGAAAGCGAGCUUGAAGAGAGCGAUUGUCAGCUUUUAUAGACCCGAACCCAGGUGAUCUAACCAAGGCCAGAAUGAAGCUUCAGUAAAAUGAAGUAGAGGUUCGAACUCACUGAUGUUGAAAAAUCAGGAGAUGAGCUUUGGUUAGCGGAGAAAUUCCAAUCGAACUUGGAGCUAGCUGGUUCUCCCCGAAAUGUGUUUUGGUACAGCCUUUCAUUAAGAACUAAUCAGGGGUAAAGCACUGUGUUGGUGCGGGCUGUGAAAACGGUACCAAAUCAAUGCAAACUCUGAAUACUGAUUAUGAAUACAAUGAUCGAGUGAGACUGUGGGGGAUAAGCUUCAUAGUCAAAAGGGAAACAGCCCAGACCAUCAGUUAAGGCCCCUAAAUAAUAACUAAGUGGAAAAAGAGGUGAAAAUGCUUAAACAACCAGGAGGUUUGCUUAGAAGCAGCCAUCCUUUAAAGAGUGCGUAAUAGCUCACUGGUCUAGCGUUUUUGCACUGAAAAUGAACGGGACUAAGUUAUUUGCCGAAGCUAUGGGCUUUGUAAAAAGCGGUAGGGGAGCGUUCUGUCGUAAAGAGAAGUAAAAUUGAAAAAUUUUAUGGAUGAAACAGAAGUGAGAAUGUAGGCUUGAGUAACGAAAACAUUGGUGAGAAUCCAAUGCCCCGAAAACCCAAGGGUUCCCUCCGCAAGGUUCGUCCGCGAGGGGUGAGUCAAGACCUAAGGCGAGGCUGAAAAGCGUAGUCGAUGACAAACAGGCGAACAUUCCUGUACUACAGUAUGUUUGUAAAAAGUGACAAAGGUGGCUAUCCACACUCUUUUUAUGGCUUAAAGAGUGAAAAUGAUCAAGACUAGAAAAAGUAGAGAAAAUACUUUUUGUUAAGACAUGAAAAAUCGGAAACGUCAGACUUUCGAGAAAAUCUUUUCAUACGAAAAACAUACCGUACUUGUACCGUAAACCGACACAGGUGGGUAAGUAGAGUAUACUAAGGGGCGCGAGAUAACUCUCUCUAAGGAACUCGGCAAAAUGGCCCCGUACCUUCGGAAGAUGGGGUACCUUUUUAAAAAGGUUGCAAUAACCAGGCCCAGGCGACUGUUUACCAAAAACACAGGUCUCCGCAAAGUCGUAAGACAACGUAUGGGGGCUGACGCCUGCCCAGUGCCGGAAGGUUAAAGAAUCUUGUUAGAUUAUUCGAAGCUCGAAACUGAAGCCCCGGUGAACGGCGGCCGUAACUAUAACGGUCCUAAGGUAGCAAAAUUCCUUGUCGGGUAAGUUCCGACCCGCACGAAAGGCGUAACGAUCUGGGCGCUGUCUCGGAGAGAGACUCGGUGAAAUAGAAUUGUCUGUGAAGAUGCGGACUACCUCCAUCAGGACAGAAAGACCCUAUGAAGCUUUACUGUAAUUUGAAAUUGUAGUUGGGCUUUUCUUGCGCAGCUUAGGUGGAAGGCGUUGAUAUUUAUUUUCUGGAAUAAAAGGAGCCAUCAGUGAGAUACCACCCUUGAAAAGUUGAACUACUAAUCUUUUGCCGUUAGCCGGCUAAGAAACAGUUUUUGAUGGACAGUUUGACUGGGGCGGUCGCCUCCCAAAAGGUAACGGAGGCGUGCAAAGGUUCUCUCAGACUAGAUGGAAAUUAGUCGCUGAGUGUAAAGGCAAAAGAGAGCUUGACUGAGAGACCUACAAGUCGAUCAGGGACGAAAGUCGGCCUUAGUGAUCCGGCGGUUUUUUAUGGAUAAGCCGCCGCUCAACGGAUAAAAGCUACUCUAGGGAUAACAGGCUGAUCUCCCCCAAGAGUUCACAUCGACGGGGAGGUUUGGCACCUCGAUGUCGGCUCAUCGCAUCCUGGGGCGGUAGUACGUCCCAAGGGUUGGGCUGUUCGCCCAUUAAAGCGGUACGUGAGCUGGGUUCAAAACGUUGUGAAACAGUUUGGUCCAUAUCCGAUGGAGGCGUAAGAGUAUUGAAAGGAUCUUUUCCUAGUACGAGAGGACCGGAAAGGACAUGCCUCUGGUGUACCAGUUAUUUUGCCAAAAGUAAACGCUGGGUAGCUAAGCAUGGAGUGGAUAACUGCUGAAAGCAUCUAAGUAGGAAGCCCACCUUAAGAUGAGUACUCUUUUAUACUAAUAGAUUCAUAAUUAGUAUAAAGAAACCACGGCAAGAACAGCCGUUGAUAGGUAGCAAGUGUAAGUGUGGUAACAUAUUCAGCUGAGCUAUACUAAUAGGUUCAAAAUUUGAAU
This 2890-nucleotide ribosomal RNA is filed under the name Prasinococcus sp. CCMP1194. RNAcentral's name for it is "LSU rRNA". It matches the Rfam family "Bacterial large subunit ribosomal RNA". Lineage: Eukaryota; Viridiplantae; Prasinodermophyta; Palmophyllophyceae; Prasinococcales; Prasinococcaceae. The record is from RNAcentral.